GAUAUUGCCAUCAUCAUCAACAUCAUCGCCCCAGAAGAAAAUUUUAGUAGAUGCGACUUUUCUGUACUUCAAAUCUUUCUUCAUUACCUUAUUGUUCUCUUUCAAAAACAUCUCGGGUGAAACUAAUAAUUCAUAGUUUAAUUUAAAUGAUACAGAAAAAGAUUCUGUUAAUUUUGUUUUUUGAGCUUCACCAUAUAAGUAUGGAGAUAACUUCUCUAUAAUUCUCUCCAAUACUUGUUUGUUGAUGUGAACGCCAUUAUUUGUGAUCGCUUUGAUAGUAUUUUAUGUCGACGUUAUUUAACUGAAGUGUUGGUCGGUGUUUGAAAUUAGCUUGGGGACGAAAGAUGUCAUGCUAGCUCUUGAUGAUAGUGAAGAUGAGAUGACUGUGUAGUUUCUGUUCACCGUAACUUCCAUAAGAACGACACGAAAUCGGUAUACAGUUUCAGGCAGAUACCAAUUUUCGCAGGUCAUUUCGAAUUUCAUAAAAUCGUUUGAUUCAUUCCAUGACAUGAUAGAUGCAGUUGAAUGCAUUGAAGCCAUUAUCAAACUUUCGAUUGAAAUGUGUAAAAGUGUC
This 574-nucleotide long non-coding RNA is filed under the name Zostera marina. RNAcentral describes it as "long non-coding RNA (ZMAR_LNC005375)". The record is from RNAcentral. Lineage: Eukaryota; Viridiplantae; Streptophyta; Magnoliopsida; Alismatales; Zosteraceae.